RNAcentral lists this ribosomal RNA (484 nucleotides) under uncultured bacterium. RNAcentral's name for it is "bacterial SSU rRNA". It matches the Rfam family "Bacterial small subunit ribosomal RNA", at positions 28 to 507 of the family's 1533-position model. The record is from RNAcentral.
GAUGAACGCUGGCGGCGUGCUUAAUACAUGCAAGUCGAACGAAGCACCUUGGGACAGGAAUCCUUCGGGGAGGAAGACCAUUGUGACUGAGUGGCGGACGGGUGAGUAACGCGUGGGUAACCUGCCUUGUACAGGGGGAUAACAGUUGGAAACGACUGCUAAUACCGCAUAAGCGCACAGUACCGCAUGGUACGGUGUGAAAAACUCCGGUGGUACAAGAUGGACCCGCGUCUGAUUAGCUAGUUGGUGAGGUAACGGCCCACCAAGGCGACGAUCAGUAGCCGACUUGAGAGAGUGAUCGGCCACAUUGGGACUGAGACACGGCCCAAACUCCUACGGGAGGCAGCAGUAGGGAAUAUUGCACAAUGGGGGAAACCCUGAUGCAGCGACGCCGCGUGAAGGAAGAAGUAUUUCGGUAUGUAAACUUCUAUCAGCAGGGAAGACAGUGACGGUACCUGACUAAGAAGCUCCGGCUAAAUACGUG